Molecule: transfer RNA, 99 nt
Filed under: Metarhizium album ARSEF 1941
Lineage: Eukaryota; Fungi; Ascomycota; Sordariomycetes; Hypocreales; Clavicipitaceae
Rfam family: tRNA
About the family: Transfer RNA (tRNA) molecules are approximately 80 nucleotides in length.
Source: Rfam by way of RNAcentral
GGCCGUGUAGCUCAAUGGCAGAGCGUCUGACUACGAUAACGUCAUCAGUCAAGAUGACCUGUAAUCAGAAGGUCGCAGGUUCGACCCCUGUCUCGGUCA